UCAUCCACUUUAAUGGAAGGCUAUGAUCUAGUUAUCUCCAUAACUAGCUCAUUUUAUAGACCUAAUAAUUUAGAAGAUUUGAUUAUAAUGUUUUGAUAAGUAAUUGACCAGCGAGUCUUAAAUCCUUCCAUCGAUUUUACCAAGUUAUAAAGAGGACUAUAGACAAGCUGGUCCAAUGGCACCUAACUCAGUCGAAAUGAUUUAAUGAUUUAAGAAUAAGAGAAG
Molecule: long non-coding RNA, 225 nt
Filed under: Elaeis guineensis (African oil palm)
Lineage: Eukaryota; Viridiplantae; Streptophyta; Magnoliopsida; Arecales; Arecaceae
Description: long non-coding RNA (EGUI_LNC079062)
Source: RNAcentral